Molecule: long non-coding RNA, 851 nt
Organism: Brassica napus (rape)
Lineage: Eukaryota; Viridiplantae; Streptophyta; Magnoliopsida; Brassicales; Brassicaceae
Exons: 2
Source: RefSeq, a predicted model, not a curated record
GUCCUUGAGUUGAACUUUUGGAAGGGGAAGUUUGUAGAAACAACGAGUCUGUGGAUUCCUUUGGUCGAACCGCCUGAGAUCAUGAUCUAAGGAACCAGAGCUGUGACAUCGCUGACGACGCUCUUGGGAUUGCAUGUCGGAUGCUCUGUAGGCGAUUACGGAUCUGCUUAUCAAUCAGAGAUAUGAUUGCUUCCGGCGGUUUGAAGGUCUGUCGAUGGAGUCUUGAGUUUCGCUCUGUCCAAAGCCAGUAGAUUACAGCCUGAGUUGCUAGAAGCGGGAGGCGGAGAGAGUCACGAUUGGUUCGCAAGUCCUGAAGUUGAGCGACAAUAUCAUCCCAAGAGGUGAGAACUCAAAGAAGAGGACCAACCAAGUAAGGAAAUUGUGCCGCGGGAUGCUGUAAGAGAUCCAAACGAUCUUAGCCCAAGGAACCGUCGGCUGGGAACCUUUAAGAUAAGUGUAUAUCACGCCUGUUUUGUACCUUUGUUCCAGUCUUCCAUCAACCACCCAUUCAUAACCAUCUUCCACUUCUGAUAACUCCACCGUGAACCUGUAGUGCUAAUUGGUUCUCAGUUUUUGCUGCAGGUAGAUGCCAACUCCCCGCGGAGAAGCGUGAUGCCACAGUUGCUGUCUUUGGGAUACCAAGACGCGAAGUGCUGGCGUUCAGAAAAUUGUAUAGGUUUUCAAAGGGUGACCAAUUAUCAAACCAUUAUCUUUGAAAACUGAUGUUCGAAAGAGAGAAGACCGUUUUAGUUGGAUGUUUCAUGUACGAUGUCUCUUCCUUUAUACUACAUGAAAUAUGGAUGUGCAUGGAAUUUACAAUUAUACAAGAAUGAAAUUAAAUACUUGAAGCA